RNAcentral lists this ribosomal RNA (254 nucleotides) under uncultured bacterium. RNAcentral's name for it is "partial 16S ribosomal RNA". It matches the Rfam family "Bacterial small subunit ribosomal RNA", at positions 524 to 776 of the family's 1533-position model. The record is from RNAcentral.
UACGGGGGGAGCAAGCGUUGUUCGGAUUUACUGGGCGUAAAGGGCGCGUAGGCGGCCACUGCAAGUCAGUUGUGAAAUCUCCGGGCUUAACCCGGAAAGGUCAACUGAUACUGCAGGGCUAGAGUGCAGAAGGGGCAACUGGAAUUCUCGGUGUAGCGGUGAAAUGCGUAGAUAUCGAGAGGAACACCUGCGGCGAAGGCGGGUUGCUGGGCUGACACUGACGCUGAUGUGCGAAAGCUAGGGGAGCGAACGGG